This is a long non-coding RNA of Vicia villosa (hairy vetch), 623 nucleotides long. RefSeq lists it as uncharacterized. The transcript has 3 exons. NCBI's taxonomy places the organism in Eukaryota, Viridiplantae, Streptophyta, Magnoliopsida, Fabales, Fabaceae. The record is from RefSeq and is a predicted model, not a curated record.
GAAAAAGGUUGAAGAGAUCCGUUGAGAUCCGGAGUGGAUAGCAUAUCACGUGGGUGUUCAGACUUGUACUUUGAAGUUGAAACACUUAAGACUUCAUUUUGCUUGCCAAAAUCAUUUAGACCCUUUUCCUCUUCUUCUUCAAACGAAGUUCUCUCUCUCUUUUCUUGAACAUUAUUCAAAACUUUUUUCUUCUGAAUAAAAACCUUCUGAAAUCCAUCCAUAUUCUUCCGGUCCUCUCGUUGCAUCUGAUUGCGACCUACCAUAGCGGAUCCGGAUGAACGGGGAGGAGGUGUGAAGGUGGAAUAUCGCGGAAAUCUGUAACCUGUUCACGACCAUAGUAAGGGCGUAGCAAGGAGACGUGAAAAACGGGAUGAACACGAGAGGUAGAAGGGAGAUCCAACAUGUACGCUACUUGUCCGAUUCGUUUGAUGAUGGUAAAAGGACCGAAGAAACGUGAGGCUAACUUCUGAGAUGAACGUGUUUGGACGGUUUGUUGGCGAUAUGGCUGAAGCUUGAGUAAAACAAGAUCUCCGAUUUGAAAAGAGUUCUGCUAGUACCGGUUCUGAGACAGAUCCCUCAACAUAGUCAACCAAGGAAGGUGGGUCGCGACCAUAGAGUGCCCG